This 389-nucleotide ribosomal RNA is filed under the name uncultured bacterium. RNAcentral's name for it is "bacterial SSU rRNA". It matches the Rfam family "Bacterial small subunit ribosomal RNA", at positions 28 to 414 of the family's 1533-position model. The record is from RNAcentral.
GACGAACGCUGGCGGCGUGCUUAACACAUGCAAGUCGAACGGAAAGGCCCUGCUUUUGUGGGGUGCUCGAGUGGCGAACGGGUGAGUAACACGUGAGUAACCUGUCCUUGACUUUGGGAUAACUUCAGGAAACUGGGGCUAAUACCGGAUAGGAGCUCCUGCUGCAUGGUGGGGGUUGGAAAGUUUCGGCGGUUGGGGAUGGACUCGCGGCUUAUCAGCUUGUUGGUGGGGUAGUGGCUUACCAAGGCUUUUGACGGGUAGCCGGCCUGAGAGGGUGCCCGGCCACAUUGGGACUGAGAUACGGCCCAGACUCCUACGGGAGGCAGCAGUGGGGAAUAUUGCACAAUGGGCGGAAGCCUGAUGCAGCAACGCCGCGUGCGGGAUGACGG